RNAcentral lists this ribosomal RNA (1355 nucleotides) under Staphylococcus aureus. Its description in RNAcentral is "bacterial SSU rRNA". It matches the Rfam family "Bacterial small subunit ribosomal RNA", at positions 192 to 1533 of the family's 1533-position model. The record is from RNAcentral. Lineage: Bacteria; Bacillati; Bacillota; Bacilli; Caryophanales; Staphylococcaceae.
GUUCAAAAGUGAAAGACGGUCUUGCUGUCACUUAUAGAUGGAUCCGCGCUGCAUUAGCUAGUUGGUAAGGUAACGGCUUACCAAGGCAACGAUGCAUAGCCGACCUGAGAGGGUGAUCGGCCACACUGGAACUGAGACACGGUCCAGACUCCUACGGGAGGCAGCAGUAGGGAAUCUUCCGCAAUGGGCGAAAGCCUGACGGAGCAACGCCGCGUGAGUGAUGAAGGUCUUCGGAUCGUAAAACUCUGUUAUUAGGGAAGAACAUAUGUGUAAGUAACUGUGCACAUCUUGACGGUACCUAAUCAGAAAGCCACGGCUAACUACGUGCCAGCAGCCGCGGUAAUACGUAGGUGGCAAGCGUUAUCCGGAAUUAUUGGGCGUAAAGCGCGCGUAGGCGGUUUUUUAAGUCUGAUGUGAAAGCCCACGGCUCAACCGUGGAGGGUCAUUGGAAACUGGAAAACUUGAGUGCAGAAGAGGAAAGUGGAAUUCCAUGUGUAGCGGUGAAAUGCGCAGAGAUAUGGAGGAACACCAGUGGCGAAGGCGACUUUCUGGUCUGUAACUGACGCUGAUGUGCGAAAGCGUGGGGAUCAAACAGGAUUAGAUACCCUGGUAGUCCACGCCGUAAACGAUGAGUGCUAAGUGUUAGGGGGUUUCCGCCCCUUAGUGCUGCAGCUAACGCAUUAAGCACUCCGCCUGGGGAGUACGACCGCAAGGUUGAAACUCAAAGGAAUUGACGGGGACCCGCACAAGCGGUGGAGCAUGUGGUUUAAUUCGAAGCAACGCGAAGAACCUUACCAAAUCUUGACAUCCUUUGACAACUCUAGAGAUAGAGCCUUCCCCUUCGGGGGACAAAGUGACAGGUGGUGCAUGGUUGUCGUCAGCUCGUGUCGUGAGAUGUUGGGUUAAGUCCCGCAACGAGCGCAACCCUUAAGCUUAGUUGCCAUCAUUAAGUUGGGCACUCUAAGUUGACUGCCGGUGACAAACCGGAGGAAGGUGGGGAUGACGUCAAAUCAUCAUGCCCCUUAUGAUUUGGGCUACACACGUGCUACAAUGGACAAUACAAAGGGCAGCGAAACCGCGAGGUCAAGCAAAUCCCAUAAAGUUGUUCUCAGUUCGGAUUGUAGUCUGCAACUCGACUACAUGAAGCUGGAAUCGCUAGUAAUCGUAGAUCAGCAUGCUACGGUGAAUACGUUCCCGGGUCUUGUACACACCGCCCGUCACACCACGAGAGUUUGUAACACCCGAAGCCGGUGGAGUAACCUUUUAGGAGCUAGCCGUCGAAGGUGGGACAAAUGAUUGGGGUGAAGUCGUAACAAGGUAGCCGUAUCGGAAGGUGCGGCUGGAUCACCUCCUUU